Molecule: ribosomal RNA, 467 nt
Filed under: uncultured bacterium
Lineage: Bacteria
Description: partial 16S ribosomal RNA
Rfam family: Bacterial small subunit ribosomal RNA
Source: RNAcentral
GAUGAAUGCUGGCGGCGUGCCUAACACAUGCAAGUCGAGCGGUAACAGAUCUAGCUUGCUAGAUGCUGACGAGCGGCGGACGGCUGAGUAACGCGUGGGAACAUACCCCAAAGUGAGGGAUAACCGCCCGAAAGGGUGGCUAAUACCGCAUAUGGUCUUCGGAUUAAAGGAUUUAUCCGCUUUGGGAAUGGCCUGCGUACGAUUAGAUAGUUGGUGAGGUAAUGGCUUACCAAGUCUACGAUCGUUAACUGGUUUGAGAGGAUGAUCAGUCAGACUGGAACUGAGACACGGUCCAGACUCCUACGGGAGGCAGCAGUGAGGAAUCUUCCACAAUGGGCGAAAGCCUGAUGGAGCAACGCCGCGUGCAGGAUGAAGGCCUUCGGGUUGUAAACUGCUUUUAUAAGUGAAGAAUAUGACGGUAACUUAUGAAUAAGCACCGGCUAACUACGUGCCAGCCGCCGCAGUAA